Molecule: ribosomal RNA, 100 nt
Filed under: Providencia rettgeri
Lineage: Bacteria; Pseudomonadati; Pseudomonadota; Gammaproteobacteria; Enterobacterales; Morganellaceae
Also listed under: 1 other name
Source: RNAcentral
UGGCGGCAAUAGCGCGGUGGUCCCACCUGACCCCAUGCCGAACUCAGCAGUGAAACGCCGUAGCGCCGAUGGUAGUGUGGGGUCUCCCCAUGUGAGAGUA